Molecule: ribosomal RNA, 254 nt
Filed under: uncultured bacterium
Lineage: Bacteria
Description: partial 16S ribosomal RNA
Rfam family: Bacterial small subunit ribosomal RNA
Source: RNAcentral
UACGAAGGGGGCUAGCGUUGCUCGGAAUCACUGGGCGUAAAGCGCACGUAGGCGGCUUCUUAAGUCAGGGGUGAAAUCCUGGAGCUCAACUCCAGAACUGCCCUUGAUACUGGGAAGCUUGGAGUCCGGGAGAGGUGAGUGGAACUGCGAGUGUAGAGGUGAAAUUCGUAGAUAUUCGCAAGAACACCAGUGGCGAAGGCGGCUCACUGGCCCGGUACUGACGCUGAGGUGCGAAAGCGUGGGGAGCAAACAGG